Molecule: transfer RNA, 72 nt
Filed under: Camelus bactrianus (Bactrian camel)
Lineage: Eukaryota; Metazoa; Chordata; Mammalia; Artiodactyla; Camelidae
Also listed under: 2 other names
Rfam family: tRNA
About the family: Transfer RNA (tRNA) molecules are approximately 80 nucleotides in length. Their secondary structure includes four short double-helical elements and three loops (D, anti-codon, and T loops). Further hydrogen bonds mediate the characteristic L-shaped molecular structure. tRNAs have two regions of fundamental functional importance: the anti-codon, which is responsible for specific mRNA codon recognition, and the 3' end, to which the tRNAs corresponding amino acid is attached (by aminoacyl-tRNA synthetases). tRNAs cope with the degeneracy of the genetic code in two manners: having more than one tRNA (with a specific anti-codon) for a particular amino acid; and 'wobble' base-pairing, i.e. permitting non-standard base-pairing at the 3rd anti-codon position.
Source: Rfam by way of RNAcentral
GAGGGUGUAGCUCACCGGUAGAGUGUGUGCUUAGUGUGCACAAGGUCCUGGGUUCAGUCCCUAGUACCUCCA